UUGCUUCCUGGUGGCGAGCGGCGGACGGGUGAGUAAUGCAUAGAAAUCUGCCCGGUAGUGGGGGAUAACCUGGGGAAACCCAGGCUAAUACCGCAUACGUCCUACGGGAGAAAGCAGGGGCUCUUCGGACCUUGCGCUAUCGGAUGAGUCUAUGUCGGAUUAGCUUGUUGGUGAGGUAAUGGCUCACCAAGGCGACGAUCCGUAGCUGGUCUGAGAGGAUGAUCAGCCACAUCGGGACUGAGACACGGCCCGAACUCCUACGGGAGGCAGCAGUGGGGAAUAUUGGACAAUGGGCGAAAGCCUGAUCCAGCCAUGCCGCGUGUGUGAAGAAGGCCUUCGGGUUGUAAAGCACUUUCAGUGGGGAAGAAAGCCUUGGGGCUAAUACCCUCGAGGAAGGACAUCACCCACAGAAGAAGCACCGGCUAACUCCGUGCCAGCAGCCGCGGUAAUACGGAGGGUGCGAGCGUUAAUCGGAAUUACUGGGCGUAAAGCGCGCGUAGGCGGUCUGAUAAGCCGGUUGUGAAAGCCCCGGGCUCAACCUGGGAACGGCAUCCGGAACUGUCAGGCUAGAGUGCAGGAGAGGAAGGUAGAAUUCCCGGUGUAGCGGUGAAAUGCGUAGAGAUCGGGAGGAAUACCAGUGGCGAAGGCGGCCUUCUGGACUGACACUGACGCUGAGGUGCGAAAGCGUGGGUAGCAAACAGGAUUAGAUACCCUGGUAGUCCACGCCGUAAACGAUGUCGACUAGCCGUUGGGCUCCUUGAGAGCUUUGUGGCGCAGUUAACGCGAUAAGUCGACCGCCUG
This 801-nucleotide ribosomal RNA is filed under the name uncultured bacterium. RNAcentral describes it as "bacterial SSU rRNA". It matches the Rfam family "Bacterial small subunit ribosomal RNA", at positions 78 to 875 of the family's 1533-position model. The record is from RNAcentral.